AUUGAACGCUGGCGGCAGGCCUAACACAUGCAAGUCGAGCGGAUGAAGGGAGCUUGCUCCUGGAUUCAGCGGCGGACGGGUGAGUAAUGCCUAGGAAUCUGCCUGGUAGUGGGGGAUAACGUCCGGAAACGGGCGCUAAUACCGCAUACGUCCUGAGGGAGAAAGUGGGGGAUCUUCGGACCUCACGCUAUCAGAUGAGCCUAGGUCGGAUUAGCUAGUUGGUGGGGUAAAGGCCUACCAAGGCGACGAUCCGUAACUGGUCUGAGAGGGUGAUCAGUCACACUGGAACUGAGACACGGUCCAGACUCCUACGGGAGGCAGCAGUGGGGAAUAUUGGACAAUGGGCGAAAGCCUGACCCAGCCAUGCCGCGUGUGUGAAGAAGGUCUUCGGAUUGUAAAGCACUUUAAGUUGGGAGGAAGGGCAGUAAGUUAAUACCUUGCUGUUUUGACGUUACCAACUGAAUAAGCACCGGCUAACUUCGUG
RNAcentral lists this ribosomal RNA (484 nucleotides) under uncultured bacterium. RNAcentral's name for it is "partial 16S ribosomal RNA". It matches the Rfam family "Bacterial small subunit ribosomal RNA", at positions 30 to 507 of the family's 1533-position model. The record is from RNAcentral.